AUGUUGUCCCAAGGCUCAACUUACGCCGUUUACAAGCUAGCAGAGGAGCCCUACGGGCUGAACUUUCCAGUCAAUGCAUCGGUGAGCGUUGGAGGAAGCGUUCUUGCAUGCAAGGUCUGCGUCCAACGUAACCCACACAUGAUCCGUCCGGAGGACGUAGCACUCCCUCAUGAAAGGGUGGAUGGUUGGAUGGAGCUGGAGUUGGGUGAGUUUGUUUGUGAGGCUGGUGAAGAUGGCGAUGUGUCCUUCGGCCUGUCAAAGACUGAAUAUUUGAACGGCAAGAGCGGUCUCCUCUUGCAGGGCAUCGAGAUCAGGCAUAAGAAUUAG
RNAcentral lists this ribosomal RNA (327 nucleotides) under Triticum aestivum (bread wheat). Its description in RNAcentral is "partial small subunit ribosomal RNA". The record is from RNAcentral. Lineage: Eukaryota; Viridiplantae; Streptophyta; Magnoliopsida; Poales; Poaceae.